This 504-nucleotide ribosomal RNA is filed under the name uncultured bacterium. RNAcentral's name for it is "bacterial SSU rRNA". It matches the Rfam family "Bacterial small subunit ribosomal RNA", at positions 28 to 524 of the family's 1533-position model. The record is from RNAcentral.
GACGAACGCUGGCGGCGUGGAUUAGGCAUGCAAGUCGAACGGUAUCAUCCUUUCGGGGGUGAGAGAGUGGCGAACUGGUGAGUAACACGUAGGUUAUCUACCCUCAAGACGGGGACAACCCAGGGAAACUUGGGCUAAUACCGGAUGUGAGCAACUUUUAGUUGUUUGAAAGGUGGCGUAAGCUGUCGCUUGGGGAUGAGCCUGCGUCCUAUUAGUUAGUUGGUGAGGUAACGGCUCACCUAGGCAAUGAUAGGUAGGCGGCCUUAACGGGUGGUCGCCCACACUGGGAUUGAGAUACGGCCCAGACUCCUACGGGAGGCAGCAGUCGAGAAUAGUCUACAAUGGUCGGAAGACUGAUAGUGCGACGCCGCGUGAACGAAGAAGCCCUUCGGGGUGUAAAGUUCUUUUAUAUGUGAGCAGUGCUUUCUAUGUGAACAGCAUGGGGAGAGAGAUAUUAGCAUAUGAAUAAGCAACGGCUAACUCCGUGCCAGCAGCCGCGGUAAA